GCACCCCGCUCCGUCCUCGCCUCGCGGCUCCCCUCCCGUAACCCUACCCCCUCCUCUCCUCUGCGCCGCCGCCGCCGCCGUCGCCAGUCCUCCUCCCCUCACACCGCGCCCGCACGGCCCUGCUACGCCGCUGCCGCUCGCCCUUUGGGUGAGAAACCUAGCCGGCUCCACUCGCGCGCCUCCCUCCCUCCCAGUCCUUCCUCUCUCCCAUCGCAGUCGCCACCUACCGCUCGCGCCGCCGCAUCCCCGUCGAGGUCGUGCAUCACAUCUUCGUGAGUUGAGGAAGCUGGCGCUGCUCUUCCCGGAGGAGCGCGCUGUCGCACCGUCAACGGGAGAAGGUCAGGCGGAGCGCACCGUCGCCGCUGGCUGGCGCGUCGACGGGAGGAGGCCAGGCAGUCCGCGCCGUCACCUGCUCGUGCUCCUCGCUGGUGUGCGCAGCCACGCCUGCUCCACCCGAGCUCGUGCACGCCGACCACCCCCGGUCCUGACCUAGGGUUUGUGGUGGGGUGAGCUUGCAGCCAUCCGCUUCGGUGGCCCACCAGCCGCGCAGCAUCCACACCCAGACGGGAAGAGCACAUGUCGUCGUUGUUCUAUCAGGAGGAGAGCACCGUCACCAUCACCCAACCGUCCUCCCCCCCUGAUUGUUUCAGAUUGGAAGUGGCUUGCACACAUAAAUCCAAGCAAGUUGACGGGAGGAUUCAUCUGUGCAUUUGAGCUACAGGGAGACUCCUGCAGCAGUUGGGCUCUGGUACGGCAAGUUCUGCAAUGCGGGGUGGAGCGGCUAUGGAGGGAGGACCCCUGCGAUGACCUCGAUGCCUGCUGCAGCGACCAUGACCACUGCAUCAAAAAGGAAGGUACUAACUAAGCUACAUACAUAUUCCUAGCUUCGGGAAGAAAGGACUAGAUCGGUCAACACGGGCUUCCCUGAACAACCAUACAUCAUGUUGCGUUAUUUUGACAUGCGAAUUCAAUUGCUAGCAAUGAUUGAUGGGCUGAGCCAGCAGUGACUUUUGUGACUAGAAAGUUUCAGACUUUUUAGUCUCUGCUUGCUCUAUUCUGUUCUUUCAUUUACAACCACUAUUUGAACAGCUCUGCAUGAUAGGUAUAACAAGUUGUGUUGUCGUCUUAUUCUCGAAUAACUAGCUGCAACUGCAUUUGUGUUGCGUUGUGGCGUGAUCAUUGGAUGGUGGAUUAGCACCAGUGCCUAACUAUGUUCCUAGAAUGUAAAAUUUGGAUAAGCAUAGUUCACUUUUGUAUCUCAGCCUAGAUUGAUUGAAAUAAUUGCUUGCAAAAACUUAUAUGGUAGGAAACUAAAAACUAGAUAAGAUAUGUAGAUGCAAUCUUUUGUUUCCUGUAUAGGAUAAUUUGUUUAUCUAUUUAUUUGAUCCUUACCGUCGGUUGUCCAUGAUGGAAUGGAAGUUAAAGUUAGCAUCUAAACUGAUGGAAUGGAAGUUAAAGUUAGCAUGUAAACUGAUUAAUUAAUGAAUAUUUCUAUCUCCACUAUUCUGUUGUGUGGGCAAUUUCUUGCCAUUGGUCCAUUAUAACCCUUAUUAGAUAUGCUGCAACAUGCUCCUAUCUGAAAUUGAUGAUUCCUAUUUUUUGUUGAAAAUUACUUGUCUAUUUUGCAUCUAGAAUUUUAGUUUAGAUAAGGUUACUCUCAGGAAAAACUAGGCAGCAGGAGGAAAAGGUAUGCCCCGAAGGCCAACUCUGCCUCUUAUAUCUUUAUUAGUAUUUUUAUGUGUUUUGCUACACAGCCGUGUGUUGAUUAGUGCGUACAUAACUCACCCUGAUCGUUCGAUUGAACAUGGCUACUACACCUGAAUUGCAGAGCUGGCUGGGUUUUUUUGAUUAAUUAUAUGGUGAUGCCGUCAUGAGCUCAAGGGUUUGCGGUUGUUUUGUAGGCAGCGGCUCAAAAUUCAGAAACAACAAAAAAACAUUAGGUUGAUUCAGCAGACGAAAAAAUUAGGAAUAGGAUCUUCAUAUCUAUGUUUACUCGAAAAAAAAUUAGGUAUACUAGCUAGCUAACUGUAUCUCUCAGUCUCAUGAUUAUCCUGUAGCUAAGUCUCUUCCAUGUGCAUAUUCUAUGUUAGUGCAUAACCUGUUAGCUGCUUAUUUACUCUUUGUUUUAAUUGGUUAGAAAAAGCACUACAUGAUCAUGGUUCUGAUUGUACACCUUUUUAGCUAAUGGUGUCCUUAAGCAUGUGGUUGCCACUGAGACGCUAAGAGAUGCCGCAGAUAAUUAAACUAAUCAAGGCACAAUUUUUUGACCACAGAUCAAGCUUAUCUCUUCUGCAGAGAAAAAUAAUGCAGGGGAAAAAGCAUGGCGUGCCACCAGCUCAUCUAUGAGAAUUGUUUAUUUAGCUUUGCGUAAUUAUUGCAAGCAACAAUUAUUUGAUUAUUAUUCUGUUUUCGUGCAUUUUUCUAAGAUUGUCGUUAACCACCUUUAGAAAUAACUCAUGCAUUUUAUAAUAGUAUGACUGAAUGAUUUUUAACAAAGACAAUUUCUGAACCCUGUUAUCAUAGAAUGGUUAUUGUGAACAAAAUACCAAUCCUUUUCUUCAUUUUCUCUAUCAAUGUGUUGCCGUUUCAUCAUACCCUCGGUUUCAUCUUUACAUGCCUCUUACCUAUCUAUGUGUUACAGCUUGUAUGUCAUUUGUAUUUUAUUUCUACUGUAUUCUAUAAUCUGAUGCAAUUAUGCAAAACCAUAGAAGAUUCUGACAGACUAAGUGGUUCUUAAUUCUCUGUUCGAGGAAAUUUAGAAUGAAGGCCAAACCGGCUAAGUGGAAAGCAAAGUGGUAGAUAAAAUUGGAAAUCUGCUUGAGAUGGACAAGGUUGCAUUUCUGCCUUCCAAAAUUCGCUCUUCCAGAUCACUAAAGGUGCAAAAGUUGAUCCAAGAGCGACUCUGGCACCUCACAACCUGCUAACUAAUGCAUUAUUGAUAUGUAUAUUCUCCAUUAAAAUUUUGUGUGUUCUGCGCUAUUGUCACCUCUUUUCUGUGAUAUAUAACAGUGCCUAGAAUAUAAUUGGUUAUGUUCCUAUAUUUAACUUCACUCUAGGUUGGCAAAAAUUCAUAUUCUGUUCAAAAGCAUGUCAUCAAUAGUCAAAUGCUUCAGAACAGAAUGUGUUGUUUUAUUUUUUAUUUCUAUCAUAUAUAUUCUGCUUUGUUCUACAUAUGUAUGAUUUAUACUGGGGCAUAUGUAUAUCAUGCUUGCACCUUAAUCUUUCCUUGAGAAAUACCAGAGGAUGGGUCACUACUAUAGAUAGGUACCGUGCGCCAAGGCACACUCCAUCAUGUUAGUCUAUGCCCCCUUCCUCGGGUUCUGGAUUCUUGGCAUGCCUAUUGUUGUGCUCAGGCUGAUGAGGCAUCCUUGCAUUAAUGGAUUGAGAAUCAAAGGUAUAGCCCUUUUCAUAACAUUGGCUCUAUUUUUCUCUCAGUUUUUGGGCUUCGAUCUAUUUUCAAUGCUGGUCUAAUGGGAACAAAUAAUUUUGCCAAAAGGGGCAUAUGAAAUAGAUGUUUAGGCAUACAAAAUGAGUAAUGAAGUCAAUUCAAAUUUGUCAUGACAUGAUUAAUGGAUGAUAAACCUUUGACACAAACUAAGUUAUCAAAUUUGUCUUAAAAAAUGUUCAUAUCAAGCAUACAACAUUCAGGUUAGAUGCAUUGAGUUUAUGUUAGUGUAUCAAAACUGUUCAAAUUUUUGACAAAAACUUCAGUACCAUCCAGAGGGAAUAAGCACUUCCCUUUAUAUAGUACAGAGUGUUAAUCAGUAUUAAAGGAGUGACCGUGACAGUGACAGUGUCACUCCAUAUAUUACUAUGCCACACUGGGAAUAGAGAAAUAGAGCAAACUUAUUAAUUCCAAGAUAUGCCGCCACAUAGGGAUGACGCAGACACGCAGUACUACAGCUUCCCUAAAGUAUUGAAUGCAGACUAUACCCUUAUGUGAAGUCUUCCAACCUUGCAGUGUUGUUUUAUUUUAUAAAGGCAUCAUCAUGGACGAUUACAGUUACAUUGCCUCCUUCAAAUUGAUAUCCAUCAACCAGUUAAGAACUCCCUGUUUUGCCACAUAAUAUCAAGUGAAGGUUGUACUCCCAAACUAAUUAGUGUGUUUGGGUUGGUAGAUACCGUUCAUUGAUCCCUAGACUUUUGACCAAUUUAUGUUCACGACAUCUUCCGUGUAUUCCAUUUCUCAUGAUUUACGAUUCUCAGUUCUGCCAGCUCUGUGGAGACAUGGAACCAAAGCCGUGAGGCAGACAUCAUCAUUUUGUUAGACCAAGUGUGGAGUUGCAAGUUAAUCCAUGAGCUACAAACAUUUGAUUUUGCUCCCUGGUUCAUUCAGUAGGUUUAGUUCCAAGAAUAGUAUUUUCUUUCUUUGAUUACCGUAUAGAGAAGAGUAACUAAGAGACCCGCUUGCCUCGCGGAUUCCCUCUGGGGAGGUCAUUCCCUCUAUUUGCUUGUGUUUUUUUGUGUUGUCAUGCAGAUUCAGGCAAUUUUUUACCCAGACUAAGCAAACAGAACACAAAAAUACACAAGCAAAUAUAUCAAUGUUCUCAUUCUCCUGCCCAUGAUUCAGGAUCUCAUUGCCUCUGUUUGCUUGUGUUUUUUGUGUUACCAUGCAGAUCACAGGUUGAAUGUAUGAAUAUCUAAGCGGACUACUUAAUCUAUUUACUGAAGCAAGACAUGUUUAUAUGUCUAAAUGUCUCGCGUUGAGAGAGAAAAAAUAGCGUAUGUCGAUCUGGACAAUAUAUAUAUGUUGCUUACAUGUUUAUCCUUCAGAGUAUUCCAAACCCCAGUUCUAUGUCUUUUUCUUGAAACUAUUGUUUUGUUGAUUCAAAUUAUUUAAUGAACUAUGUUUUUUUAA
This is a non-coding RNA of Aegilops tauschii subsp. strangulata, 4858 nucleotides long. NCBI's taxonomy places the organism in Eukaryota, Viridiplantae, Streptophyta, Magnoliopsida, Poales, Poaceae. The record is from RefSeq and is a predicted model, not a curated record.